This 20-nucleotide small nuclear RNA is filed under the name Arabidopsis thaliana (thale cress). RNAcentral describes it as "snRNA_16892". Lineage: Eukaryota; Viridiplantae; Streptophyta; Magnoliopsida; Brassicales; Brassicaceae. The record is from RNAcentral.
UGUUUUUGGUCCCAAGGCUC